GAUGAAGAACGUAGCGAAAUGCGAUACGUAAUGUGAAUUGCAGAUUUCAGUGAAUCAUCGAAUCUUUGAACGCACAUUGCGCCCGCUAGUAUUCUGGCUGGCAUGCCUGUUCGAGCGUCAUUUCAACCAUCAAGCCCUAGGCUUGCGUUGGAGCCCUGCGGCUGCCGCAGGCUCCCAAAUCCAGUGGCGGGCUCGUCGUCGUACCGAGUGCAGUAAACAUCCUCGCUCAGGGAACGUGACGGGUUCUUGCCGUGAAACCCCCCACAUAUCAAGGUUGACCUCGGAUCAGGUAGGAAUACCCGCUGAACUUAAGCAUAUCAAUAAGCGGAGGA
This 332-nucleotide unclassified non-coding RNA is filed under the name soil metagenome. Its description in RNAcentral is "partial contains 5.8S ribosomal RNA, internal transcribed spacer 2, and large subunit ribosomal RNA". The stretch from base 1 to 120 matches the Rfam family "5.8S ribosomal RNA", at positions 35 to 154 of the family's 154-position model. The record is from RNAcentral.